AGAGCGAACGCUGGCGGCAGGCCUAACACAUGCAUGUCGAACGGACUCUUCGGAGUUAGUGGCGGACGGGUGAGUAACACGUGGGAACGUGCCUUUAGGUUCGGAAUAGCUCCUGGAAACGGGUGGUAAUGCCGAAUGUGCCCUUCGGGGGAAAGAUUUAUCGCCUUUAGAGCGGCCCGCGUCUGAUUAGCUAGUUGGUGAGGUAAAGGCUCACCAAGGCUACGAUCAGUAGCUGGUCUGAGAGGAUGACCAGCCACAUUGGGACUGAGACACGGCCCAAACUCCUACGGGAGGCAGCAGUGGGGAAUCUUGCGCAAUGGGCGAAAGCCUGACGCAGCCAUGCCGCGUGAAUGAUGAAGGUCUUAGGAUUGUAAAAUUCUUUCAGUAGGGACGAUAAUGACGGUACCUACAGAAGAAGCCCGGACUAACUUCGUGCCAGCAGCCGC
This 446-nucleotide ribosomal RNA is filed under the name uncultured soil bacterium. RNAcentral describes it as "bacterial SSU rRNA". It matches the Rfam family "Bacterial small subunit ribosomal RNA", at positions 26 to 518 of the family's 1533-position model. The record is from RNAcentral.